Ipomoea nil (Japanese morning glory) is the source of this 113-nucleotide long non-coding RNA. RefSeq lists it as uncharacterized. NCBI's taxonomy places the organism in Eukaryota, Viridiplantae, Streptophyta, Magnoliopsida, Solanales, Convolvulaceae. The transcript has 3 exons. The record is from RefSeq and is a predicted model, not a curated record.
GUUUUUCGUUGGCUGGAUUUUCCAAGUGUAGCCAAACACAAAAAACCCAGAAAAUGAUUUCAAGAAAUCAUUUUUUGGGUUUCCAAACACAGCCUAAGUUUUUUUUAGUAUUU